Lytechinus pictus (painted urchin) is the source of this 4202-nucleotide RNA transcript. It is a transcript of the gene named ras GTPase-activating protein 3-like, with no coding region annotated. The transcript is spliced from 16 exons. The record is from RefSeq and is a predicted model, not a curated record. NCBI's taxonomy places the organism in Eukaryota, Metazoa, Echinodermata, Echinoidea, Temnopleuroida, Toxopneustidae.
CAACGUCCAGUGCUGUUUAUAUCCUUGGGGAGUUUGUGAAGGAGAAGAUCACAGCCGCUAGACCGCUGGUCAGAUUAUUCCAUCACUAUGGUCAAAUACUUCCAAUCAUUAGGGUACUAGCGGAGCAUGAGAUCUCAACCACAACGGAUCCGCAUACGAUAUUCCGUGGCAACUCGUUGGCGUCAAAGUGCAUUGAUGAGUUCAUGAGGUUACAGGGUCUUCAUUACCUACACGAUGUACUGAAGAGUGUGGUGGAUGACAUCUAUGAAGAAAGGAAACAAUGUGAGAUAGACACUACCAAGUUUAAAGAUGGAGAAAACUUGGAAGCUAAUCUUGCCAAUUUACAGCAUUAUAUUGAAAAAGCGUUUCAAGCCAUCGUCGGCUCGGCAGCAACAUGCCCAACUUCAAUGUGUGAAGUGUUUUAUUACCUCAAGGAAGCCGCCUCAAGACAGUUUCCAGACGACCCUGAUGCCAAAUACUCCGCUGUGAGCGGUUUUGUCUUCCUUCGAUUCUUUGCUCCUGCCAUCCUCUCUCCAAGGUUAUUCCACCUCAAGAAAGAAAACCCUGAUGAGUUAGUCAGCAGAACACUUAAGAUGGUUUCCAAGGCGAUACAAACACUUGGUAACCAUGUCAACCCAGAUAAACUGAGUUCUGUCAAUAUGAAAGAGGAGUACAUGACACCACUCUACUCAAACAUACUGGAUAGAGAACAUGUACAAGGAAUCAGAAAGUUUCUGGAGAAAGUAUCGUCAAGUAAAUCCAAGACCAAGUCCAUGGAGGCCCCGGUGGUAUUAAAAGAAGGGUACAUGAUAAAGAGAGCGCAGGGUAGGAAGAGAUUAGGUAUCGGUAUGAAGAACUUCAAAAGGAGGUGGUUCAGGCUUACAAACAGAGAGCUUACAUAUUCUAAGAGUGAUGACUGUUUUCCGCUGUGUACGAUACCCAUCUCAGAUGUCUUAGCUGUGGAAAAGCUAGAAGAAGAAUCAUUCCAAAUGAAAUUUAUGUUCCAAGUAGUUCAACCAAAGAGAGCACUAUAUGUCCAAGCCAGCAACUGUGUAGAAGAGAAAGCCUGGAUCGACAUUCUUUCCAAUAUAUGCAAGAGCAAUCGUCAUAGAUUAAGCUAUUAUCAUCCCGCUGCCUUUGUCAAUGGUAAUUGGAUGUGCUGUAAACUGCAGAAUGAAUCAGACAGAGGCUGCACACCAGUAACAGGGGUGGUUCCGUGGAGUGUCACAUUAGAUAUAGACCCAGACAGAGAAAUGGAAAGGAUCUAUACCUUAUUCAAAGCCAACAUUGCCAAACUAGAAAAACUUGAAGAUGCAUGUGCAUUACAAGCCGUCUACCAAGGUACAAGGUCGGAAGCACCUCCUAUGCUGGUUGAAGACUCCAAGAGCUGCUUUGAGACUGUCAAAGGUCUACUGUACGAGUUACAGCAAAUAGAGGAGUCACAUGUCAAUUACAGAACAAGGAGAGAAGAGACUAGAGAGUAUGGAAGCAAGCAAACACCAAUCGGCGAUGAGAACUUCAACAAUUCCUUCAAAUGACAACUAGUCGUGGCAUUGUUUGGACUUUGCCUGGUUGGUUUGUACCAUGCCAGCAUUACUACCUUCCACUGAUGAACGGUGCUUCGUGGCUUCUUCAAGAAGAAUAUCCUCCCAUGAACCGUUUCUUCAAGCGUUACACUUCUGCCUGCGGCUCGUUAUUGGUUGCUACCAUCAGGAUAUCUUUUGACACACCUCUCAUUGUUUUCACUGUACCUGAUGGGGCUACAUGUAUGUCUGAAGGGUCAUCUCUGAAAAAAUGAACAGAUCUAUUGACAACAUCUUCUGCGGAAGAAGAGCCUACGUUGUUGAUCAGGCAACAUGAUUUCUUCGCAACCAUUCCUCGCCGAGGCUCGUAGAGGUUACUCCUUUUCAGUCGUCAUCGGUGGAUAAUUUUGAGCAGUCAGGAUUUAUUCCAAUGUACUCCACAUGACAAUUUAAUGAGCAAUGUGAGCAUGGUAUUUUAAGAAGCAAAAGAACGUUCAUUGCUGGGCUCUUUGAUCUAAAGCUCAACAAUUGCUCGCAGACUGACUCUACAAUCAAUCGCAUCGAUUAUUUUAUUUAAUCAAUUCUAAAAAAUCAGUCCCCCGAUUAAUCACCAAGCUUAUUUUAAAGGGCCAAGGUCACCCCUCCAACACUUGAGGUUUUUUCUGAAACUCCUCAGAAUCCAUUUCUAUCCUACAAUCAGUGAAUCAUUUCAUCAGUCAGUAUUGUUUGUAUGUUAGAUGUGAUCAGCUGUAUGGCACUGUGGACUUGACCUUUAAUGACGACUAUGCUUAAUGCCAUUGUCUGAUUAUGCAGUCACUGUUUUUUUUUUAAAUCGCUGUCUUUGCAUCAGACUUCCAAUCGGUUUUCAGUGAAAAUUAUUCACAUGAAUUAUUUCUGUGGUAUUUACAUCUUUUACUAAAGUCAUUAUCUCUGUUCACCACUCUGCAUGAAGAUUUGAAAGAGUAACCAGAUGAUGCUUCAGAUAUACAUGUAUUAGUCACACUGGACACUAAGGCCCAUAUUCUGAAGUCGGGUUUAAUUUAAACCCAGGUUUAAAGUUGUGUUCUAGGUAUGGAAAGCCAAUUGUUACAUAAAUCACUAACAGCAGAGAUAUCAUAUUUCAGCUCAUUUGACUCUCAAAUCAUUCUCAAUUGUCUAGGAACUAUGAAUAAGAUAAUUGUCUUCACCAUCGAAGAAUCAGGAAAGAGCACAGUAAACUUAAGAAACAUACAAUGCAAUAACAAUUUUGACCCUUUUGGCUUCCCAUAAUUUUAGCAGAGUUAGACCAUGGUCUAUGUUAAACUUGACUUCAGAAUACGGGCCUAAGGAUGCAAAGUAUUCAUGUUAAGUAAAUAUGAGAAUACUUGAAGCAAACAAAACCAUUUUACUUACUAAAGUAUUAUAAAAUCAUUGAUAAAAUCAUGGUAGUCGGCUGAGAUUUCAAAAUAGGUCUGUGGAUUAAGAUGUGUAAAUUAAAAGUAUUUUAAGAUGAAAUAUUGGGAAAGAGGGAUAGAAGCUGAAAUUCAGUGUGGAUAUAUUAUGUUAAAUGAAAUUAAUAUCCAGUACUUCAGAAAUGGAAAGUUACUCAUUUAGUACUUUGGUCAAUCAUCCUUAUUCUUUCCAAAAUGUGAUUGUCACAUUAAUACAUGUAGGAUGAACAUUGUAAUCUACUUGACUUCAGUAUUGUGUAGAAUAUGGUACUUAAAGAAAAAAAAAAAGAUAAGUACUUUUACUAGGAAUGCAAUAAUAGUAAUAUGAUUAGCUCAAAAAAUUGUUAUCAUCUCAUCUUAUUACCAUCAUCAUCAUCAUCAUGGCUAUCACCACCACCACUGUGACUGUUACUGCUGCCGGAUUUGUAUUAUUUGUAUUUAUUUAUUCAUAUGUUUUUUUAUAAGCUUUAUUAUUAUCAUUAUUUUGUAAAAAUUUUAAUCCAAUCGUUUGAUAAAUAGCGCCUUUUUCCGUUCAGUUACAAAAGCGCUGCAAUUCACAUCAUCCAUCCCUUUUCAACUUUUUGCUAGAUAUACAAUUGGCAAUUCAAAAUUAAUUACUCUUAUACAAUCUGCUUCAGUUGAGGCUUGAAAACAUGUACUUAUUGUUCCUUUUGCCAUGUGUUUACAUAUCAUACUAGUAAACUGAAGGUCAGUACUAUUACAGAUUUUGUUUUUUUGGUCAAUAAAAUGUACUAUUUUAAGAUGACAUUCCAUGUUUCCAUAGUCAAUUUCAUACUUUAUUCCUUUUGGCCAUCCUUUAAAGGGACAGUACACUGACAGACACUUAGUGUGGUGUGUCAUUAAUACCCAGUCUUGAAAUAUUCCUUUGCGAGAACUAUUCAUAAUAUCCUACAGAGAAUAAUUAACCUAUAAAAGAAUUGUAAAGAGGAACUAAAUGUUUUUAGAGGAAUACAUGUAGUACUUGUUUUGUUACUUGUUGACAUUAUGUUAGUAAUGACUGUCUUAUCAUUCAAAUGGGUUUAUAUUAUAAUACUACACUGCUCAGAAUGAAUGUUGCAUUAUGGGUUAUAUGAGUCUCUCUCGUCCCACGUCAGUCUUCAGUUUUCAGCAGGAUGUUUUCUUGUAAAUUAGAAAGCUAUUUUAGUUCAUGAAUGCACAUGAGAUUGACAAUCUGAUUAGGUUCUGCUUGACACCGUUCUCGCUGCCUUCCUAAAGCUACUAUAGUUUA